Molecule: ribosomal RNA, 2034 nt
Filed under: Triticum aestivum (bread wheat)
Lineage: Eukaryota; Viridiplantae; Streptophyta; Magnoliopsida; Poales; Poaceae
Description: partial small subunit ribosomal RNA
Source: RNAcentral
AUGAACCAAGAAAAAUAUAUGAAUUUAAGGCUUCAAUUGCAACUACGGAUGAAGCAAAUAACAUACUAUAUUCACAAGAAUGGAUCGCAGAUUAGGCCUAGGGAUGCACGCGGGACAACGUCCACGAAGUCUGCGGCCGUCCACGUCGAUCGACUUUACAUUAGCACGGUUAUUAAAGUAGCAGUGGUUAGCUUAUUUUCCGCUUGCAUCCCUAUGAUUAUGCAAAGAGACAUAGAAGAGCCGUGGGCGCUGCCGUGCUACGUAUGGGAGAGAAGCGAGCUAGAUGCCCAGAUCAAUAUGUUCUGGGCCUUGUGGGUUAUAAUGAUGGAAACUGAAAGCUCGUGUAAAAUGUUCAAAGGCAUCACAAAAAAGAAGAUGUUCAAAGUGCGUCGGCUGAGGAGGAACUACGGCACGGCCGGCACACCCGGAACAGACGGCAGCGGUAUCUUAGGCACGCCAGGGAUGGACGGCAUCGGCGGCAGUGGCACCUUGGGCAGGUCGGGAAGGGACGGCAGAGGCGGCAGAGGCACCGGCAGCUUGGGCAGGUCGCCGGGGAUGGACGGAACCGGUGGUAAUGGCACUGGUACCAUGGGCAGGUCACCGGGGAUGGACGGCAUCGACGGCAGAGGCAACGUUGGCACGCCUGGCACGGUUGGCACUGUGGGCACGACGGCGCCGGGUGCUGCCGGCAGCGGCACCGUCGGCACGCCUGGCACGGCGGGAACUGUCGGGAUGGUCGGCACGGCGGGUACUGUUGGCAGCGGCACCGCCGGCACACCUGGCACAGUGGGCACCGUCGGCACCUCCGGCACGGUGGGAACCGUCGGGACGGUCGGCACCACGCCGCCGGGUACUGUUGGCAGCGGCACCGCCGGCACACCUGGCACGGUGGGCACCGUCGGCACCUCCGGCACGGUGGGAACCGUCGGGAUGGUUGGCACGACGCCGCUGGGUACUGUUGGCAGCGGCACCGUCGGCACUUCCGGCACGGUGGGCACGACGCCGCCUGGCACGGCAGGGACCGUGGGAACGACCAGGGGCAAGGCCGGCAGCGUCGGUUCGGGCAAGGCCGGGAUGUCGGCGAGGAGGCGCGCAGCACCGCACGUGCUGAGCAUGACGGCCAUGAGGAGCGCCACGGCCACGAAGCUCGUCGGCGUGGAGGCCAUGGGCGCGUUGCUACCUAGCCCACGAGCUGGCCUCAGCUCUAAAUUUCUGCAAGGGGAGCUGACGGCCUCCCACGGCUUGGCAUUUUGCAAGCAUCGGUUGUUGGCCACCCGAGGCUUAGCAUGGGUCGCAUUGGCCGCGGAAGGAGGGCUGGUGAUUGGCGAAGGGGUGCUGGAACAAAUCAACAAUGUGUGGUACAGCCGAGGGGGCGUGUGGGGCGCUGGAUCGAAUUCUGAUUUGGGCCUGAAAGGGUGGUUCUCGCGUUUGGUUCGGUCCAAGAACCGGAACCAAGUCAUUCCGUGGAACGGCAUAUUCGCCCCAGAUGCCGAACCCGCUGGUACCUCCAAAUCGGAGGAACCACGCGGAACGCCUCGUGUCUUCCCUUCUCCCCUGACUCUGCCUUCUCUCCCUCCAAUCCCCCGUCUCGACCCUCCCCUCAUGUCUCACCACCGGCACACUCCUGUCGCUCUGCGGCCGGAUCCUCGGGUCCGAUCGGGAACAGGAGGAGCAGCGGCGGGCGUCCGAUCUGACAGGCGGAGCAGCGGCGGCGGCGUCCUAUCUGACAGGCGGAGCAACGGCGGCGGCGUCCUAUCUGACAGGCGGAGCAGCGGCGGCGGCGUCCUAUCUGACAGGCGAAUCAGCGGCGGCGACGUCCUAUCUGACAAGCAGAGCAGCGGCGUCGUCCGAUCUGGGAGGCAGAGCCGCGCCCGCGACUCCCACUACCUCCUGCUCCACGCGGCUUCCCGGCACCAUCGUCCAUCAUCUCUGCUCUGCUCGGCUCUCCCUGCCUCCUCGCACAUGCUUUGCAGUGCCCGUCCAUGGGCUACGUGCUGCAGCUGGGCAAGCAGUCACAGCAAGCAGCGGCAGUAA